RNAcentral lists this ribosomal RNA (301 nucleotides) under uncultured soil bacterium. RNAcentral describes it as "bacterial SSU rRNA". It matches the Rfam family "Bacterial small subunit ribosomal RNA", at positions 26 to 354 of the family's 1533-position model. The record is from RNAcentral.
AGAACGAACGCUGGCGGCAUGCCUAAUACAUGCAAGUCGAACGAACACUUCGGUGUUAGUGGCGCACGGGUGCGUAACGCGUGGGAAUCUGCCCUUGGGUUCGGAAUAACAGUUGGAAACGACUGCUAAUACCGGAUGAUAUCGAAAGAUCAAAGAUUUAUCGCCCAGGGAUGAGCCCGCGUAGGAUUAGCUAGUUGGUGAGGUAAAGGCUCACCAAGGCGACGAUCCUUAGCUGGUCUGAGAGGAUGAUCAGCCACACUGGGACUGAGACACGGCCCAGACUCCGUACGGGAGGCAGCAG